RNAcentral lists this ribosomal RNA (2950 nucleotides) under Parcubacteria bacterium SCGC AAA011-N16. RNAcentral's name for it is "bacterial LSU rRNA". The stretch from base 5 to 2164 matches the Rfam family "Bacterial large subunit ribosomal RNA", at positions 15 to 2044 of the family's 2925-position model. Lineage: Bacteria; Candidatus Parcubacteria. The record is from RNAcentral.
GCUACAGCAUAUGGUGGAUGCCUUGGCACAAAACGGCGAUGAAGGACGUAGCAGCCUGCGAUAAGCCUCGGAGAGCUGGCAAGCAAGCAUUGAUCCGGGGAUUUCCGAAUGGGGAAACCCUACUAUCGUUAUUGAUAGUAACUCCGUCGUAAGAUGGAGAGCGUACCCGCUGAAGUGAAACAUCUCAGUAAGCGGAGGAAAAGAAAAUUAGAAUGAUUCCCUGAGUAGUGGCGAGCGAAAAGGGAUUAGCCGAAACGUGUUUGACUAUUGUUCGUGUGAUUCGUUAUUCGAAAGAAUGAUUGGAAAGCAUAUUCAUGAAGGCGCAAGGGCCACAUGUCUUACACGCGUUAAAAGAGAGCAAUGAUUUCAUCCUUGAACAUGAGAGAGAGAGGAAUCCCAAAUCGGGUUUAACAUUCCUAGGAGAAAGGCCUGGAACGGCCUGCCAUAGAAGGUGAUAGCCCUGUACACGAAAGGAGUUAGACCUCUCUGAUUGUUUUUCUUGAGUACCACGAGGCACGAGAAACCUUGUGGGAAGUCCGGCCGACUAUAGGUCGAAGGCUAAAUACGUUUUGUGACCGAUAGCGAAUUAGUACCGCGAGGGAAAGGUGAAAAGCAGCCCGGUGAGGGCGAUGAAAUAGUAUCUGAAACCAUAUGCGAACAAAGAGUCGGAGCUCCGACCUCGGUCGGAGUGACGGCGUUCCUAUUGAAGAAUGAUCCAACGAGUUUAUUCUACGUUGCUCGUCUAAGUCACUGCGGUGACGGAGGCAGAGCGAAAGCGAGUCUUACAAGGGCGUCACCUUACUAUUUCGAUAUUUCGAAAUUUCGAUAUAUCGAAAUGGUAUGGUAGGCAGCGUGGAUGAGACCCGAACGGGGGUGAGCUAACCAUGGCCAGGGUGAACUCCGAUGAAAAUCGGAGGGAGGCCCGAACACACGAGCCGUGCAACACUUGGUGAUGAGCUGUGGUUAGGGGUGAAAUUCCUAUCGAACUCCCUAAUAGCUGGUUCUCCUCGAAAUAGCUUAAGGGCUAGCCUCGGAUGUUCCUCGCAGGGGUAGAGCACUGAAUGGGGUGCGAUGGCGCAAGCCUACGUACCUCAACCAAACUCCGAAUACUGCGAAUAUAUAAUCCGGGAGUCAGACUAUGGGGGCGAAGCUCCAUCAGUCAUAAGGGAAACAGCCCAUGACCACCAUCUAAGGUCCCUAAAUGUAUGUUCAGUGUAAAAGGUAGUGGAGUGACUUGGACAACGAGGAGGUUGGCUUAGAAGCAGCCAUCCUUUAAAGAAAGCGUAACAGCUCACUCGUCAAGUUGCCCUGCGCCAAAAAUGUAACGGGGCUAAACAUACUACCGAAGGUGUGGACUGUGCCGAUUUAUCGGCAUAUGUGGUAGAGGAGCGUUCCGACUGCAACGAAGGUUACGGCGUAAGCCGGGCUGGAGUGGUCGGAAGUGCGAAUGUUGGAAUAAGUAGCAAAAAGUCAAGUGAAAACCUUGACCACCGUAAACCCAAGGUUUCCUGGGCAACGCAACUCGACCCAGGGUGAGUCGAUCCUAAGGUGAGGCCCCAAAGGCGUAACCGAUGGAAGAGCAGGUUAAUAUUCCUGCACUACCGUACGAGUCAUUUCUUCGUGCGCUUUUAUGUGGUGCGUGUGUGUUUUGGAUAUGCACAUGGAUGCCAUAGCAAUAUGGUGGCCGCAGGCGACGUCGCAAGACCGAGCCAAUACGCAUAAAGUAAGAGCCAAGAAAAGCGAAGAAACUUUGUCGUACGGUAACCGUACCGCAAACCGACACAGGUGGGUGGGGAGAGUAUCCCAAGGUGUACGAGAGAACCCUCGCUCAGGAACUCGGCAAUACAACGACCGUAACUUCGGAAUAAGGUCUGCCCCGAGCAAUCGGGGCCGCAGCGAAAGACGCUUGGCGACUGUUUAACAAAAACACAGGUCCCUGCGAAGUCGUAAGACAAAGUAUAGGGACUGAUGCCUGGCCAGUGUCAGAACGUUACGAGGAGAGGUCAUGGCCGAAGCAAUUCGGCCGGCAGCCUUGAAUCUAAGCGCUGAUGAACGCCGGCGAUAACUAUAAUCGUCCUAAGGUUUUCUAGAUCAAUCAAUGGUCUAGAAAAGGACUGGGACGAUUAUACUAUAAAGUGUUUUUGAGAAGUGCUGAGUUAGAGAAAUGAGCAAAAUAAAGUUGGGAAAGUAACUGCCUAAUAGAGUUGGCUAUAUGCUGGAAACUCUGGUGUAUCGAGCAUUACUAUAGUAUAAUGACAAUGGGUAUAUAUUCCUUGUCAAAUAGCUAUAGUGAAAAUAUGUCUCGUGCAGACAAUCAGCAGGAAAGACUAAUAAUGAUCGGGUGGAUUCUUGGAUUCGUUGAUGGCGAAGGUUGUUUCUCGGUCGGUUUUGUAAAACAACCUGAUCGUAAAGAAGCAACAAGAAUCCGUCGAGGAUAUACAACGGGGUAUCAGAUUGCUCCCGAAUUUUCUGUCAUGCAAGGUGAAAGGAGCAUCAAAAAUCUCAAAAAACUAAAAUCUUUUUUUGGAGUCGGCGCAGUUUACAUAAAUCGUCGACAUGAUAACCAUAAAGAAGAUCUCUUCCGAUACCACGUCAGUCGUCGUGAAGAUCUACUCAAUGUGAUUAUUCCAUUCUUUGAGAAGUAUCCGUUGCGUACUGCAAAAAAGAAUGACUUUUGUCUUUUUGCAAAGUGUAUUCGAUUGAUGCAGAAAGGAAAACAUCUCACAAGAAAUGGAGUAAUACAGAUAGCACAAUUAACCGAAAGAAUGAAUCAUCGAAAAUCACGCACUGAUCUUAUUAGAAUCCUCAGAAACCAAACGCCAACCUCCGCAUAAAGCGGAGAAGAUAGAGUUCCAUCUGCAUAGCGAUAUGCAGCGUCAGCAAUGACGACUCCGACGUAGGUCGGAGGAAGGUGAUUAGCGAAAUCCCUUGUCGGGUAAGUAUCGGAACU